AACGUACGCUGGCGGCACGCCUAACACAUGCAAGUCGAACGAAGUAGCAAUACUUAGUGGCAGACGGGUGAGUAACAUGUAGGUAUCUGCCCUUUGGCCUGGAAUAACACGAGGAAACUUGUGCUAAUACCGGAUAAGUCUUUACGGAGAAAGCUUUAUGCACCAUUGGAUGAGCCUGCACUUGAUUAGUUUGUUGGUGGGGUAAUGGCCUACCAAGACUGUGAUCAAUAGCUGAUUUGAGAGGAUGAUCGGCCACAUUGGGACUGAGACACGGCCCAAACUCCUACGGGAGGCAGCAGUGGGGAAUCUUGCACAAUGGAGGAAACUCUGAUGCAGCGAUGCCGCGUGAGUGAAGAAGGCCCUUGGGUUGUAAAGCUCUUUCGUCGGGGAAGAAAAUGACUGUACCCGAAUAAGAAGGUCCGGCUAACUUCGUGCCAGCAGCCGCGGUAAUACGAAGGGACCUAGCGUAGUUCGGAAUUACUGGGCUUAAAGAGUUCGUAGGUGGUUGAAAAAGUUAGUGGUGAAAUCCCAGAGCUUAACUCUGGAACUGCCAUUAAAACUUUUCAGCUAGAGUAUGAUAGAGGAAAGCAGAAUUUCUAGUGUAGAGGUGAAAUUCGUAGAUAUUAGAAAGAAUACCAAUUGCGAAGGCAGCUUUCUGGAUCAUUACUGGCACUGAGGAACGAAAGCAUGGGUAGCGAAGAGGAUUAGAUACCCUCGUAGUCCAUGCCGUAAACGAUGUGUGUUAGACGUUGGAAAUUUAUUUUCAGUGUCGCAGGGAAACCGAUAAACACACCGCCUGGGGAGUACGACCGCAAGGUUAAAACUCAAAUGAAUUGACGGGGACCCGCACAAGUAGUGGAGCAUGUGGUUUAAUUCGAAGAUACGCGCAGAACCUUACCAACACUUGACAUGUUCGUCGCGACUCUAAGAGAUUAGAGUUUUCGGUUCGGCCGGACGAAACACAGGUGCUGCAUGGCUGUCGUCAGCUCGUGUCGUGAGAUGUUGGGUUAAGUCCCGCAACGAGCGCAACCCUCACUUUUAGUUGCCAUCAUUAAGUUGGGCACUCUGAAAGAACUGCCAGUGAUAAGCUGGAGGAAGGUGGGGAUGACGUCAAGUCCUCAUGGCCCUUACGUGUUGGGCUACACACGUGCUACAAUGGUAUCUACAACAGGAAGCAAGACUGCGAAGUUAAGCAAAUCCCUAAAAGAUACCUCAGUUCGGAUUGCACUCUGCAACUCGAGUGCAUGAAGCUGGAAUUACUAGUAAUCGUGGAAUCAGCGUGCCACGGUAAAUGCGUUCCCGGGUCU
This 1307-nucleotide ribosomal RNA is filed under the name uncultured bacterium. RNAcentral's name for it is "bacterial SSU rRNA". It matches the Rfam family "Bacterial small subunit ribosomal RNA", at positions 28 to 1381 of the family's 1533-position model. The record is from RNAcentral.